Molecule: long non-coding RNA, 201 nt
Filed under: Aquilegia coerulea
Lineage: Eukaryota; Viridiplantae; Streptophyta; Magnoliopsida; Ranunculales; Ranunculaceae
Description: long non-coding RNA (ACOE_LNC001054)
Source: RNAcentral
UAUAGAACCGUGACACGGUGGAGACCGACGUUAGAAAUGCAAUAAAAUUUAACAUUUAUGCUUGGAACAAUUUCCAGGCAUUUCACAAACACCAAGAAACAAAGUUAACCACAAGAAGCACUACUGCUUUAUGCCUUAGCCAUAGGAUCAUAGUUAACCACAAGAAGCAUUAAGGUUUCGACAUUUAAACAAAAAAAAAAA